RNAcentral lists this ribosomal RNA (515 nucleotides) under uncultured bacterium. Its description in RNAcentral is "partial 16S ribosomal RNA". It matches the Rfam family "Bacterial small subunit ribosomal RNA", at positions 28 to 523 of the family's 1533-position model. The record is from RNAcentral.
GAUGAACGCUGGCGGCGUGCCUAAUACAUGCAAGUCGAGCGAAUGGAUUAAGAGCUUGCUCUUAUGAAGUUAGCGGCGGACGGGUGAGUAACACGUGGGUAACCUGCCCAUAAGACUGGGAUAACUCCGGGAAACCGGGGCUAAUACCGGAUAACAUUUUGAACCGCAUGGUUCGAAAUUGAAAGGCGGCUUCGGCUGUCACUUAUGGAUGGACCCGCGUCGCAUUAGCUAGUUGGUGAGGUAACGGCUCACCAAGGCAACGAUGCGUAGCCGAGCUGAGAGGGUGAUCGGCAAGACUGGGACUGAGACACGACCCAGACUCCUACGGGAGGCAGCAGUAGGGAAUCUUCCGCAAUGGACGAAAGUCUGACGGAGCAGCGCCGCGUGAGUGAUGAAGGCUUUCGGGUCGUAAAACGCUGUUGUUAGGGAAGAACAAGUGCUAGUUGAAUAAGCUGACACCUUGACGGUACCUAACCAGAAAGCCACGGCUAACUACGUGCCAGCCGCCGCAGUAA